This 253-nucleotide ribosomal RNA is filed under the name uncultured bacterium. RNAcentral describes it as "partial 16S ribosomal RNA". It matches the Rfam family "Bacterial small subunit ribosomal RNA", at positions 524 to 776 of the family's 1533-position model. The record is from RNAcentral.
UACAGAGGGUGCGAGCGUUAAUCGGAAUUACUGGGCGUAAAGCGCACGUAGUCGGCUUUGCAAGUCGGGUGUGAAAUCCCCGGGCUCAACCUGGGAACUGCAUCCGAGACUGCAUUGCUAGAGUACGGGAGAGGGAAGCGGAAUUUCUGGUGUAGCAGUGAAAUGCGUAGAUAUCAGAAGGAACAUCAGUGGCGAAGGCAGCUUCCUGGACCAAUACUGACGAUCAGGUGCGAAAGCGUGGGGAGCAAACAGG